ACAAUCCUUCAGGGCAGGGUGAAAUUCCCUACCGGCGGUGAUGAUUCGCAUGACGCGUAAGGCGGUAUGCGCAAGACAAGUCCGCUACCCGGAUCGCGCUUGUCGCGCGGACGGUGGACCCGGUGAGAUUCCGGGACCGACAGUUACAGUCUGGAUGGAAGAAGGAGAGU
This 170-nucleotide non-coding RNA is filed under the name Paenibacillus sabinae. RNAcentral describes it as "FMN sequence". It matches the Rfam family "FMN riboswitch aptamer (RFN element)". From Rfam's summary of the family: The RFN element is a highly conserved domain that is found frequently in the 5'-untranslated regions of prokaryotic mRNAs that encode for flavin mononucleotide (FMN) biosynthesis and transport proteins. This element is a metabolite-dependent riboswitch that directly binds FMN in the absence of proteins. In Bacillus subtilis, the riboswitch most likely controls gene expression by causing premature transcription termination within the 5' untranslated region of the ribDEAHT operon and precluding access to the ribosome-binding site of ypaA mRNA. The record is from RNAcentral. Lineage: Bacteria; Bacillati; Bacillota; Bacilli; Caryophanales; Paenibacillaceae.